Molecule: ribosomal RNA, 480 nt
Filed under: uncultured bacterium
Lineage: Bacteria
Description: bacterial SSU rRNA
Rfam family: Bacterial small subunit ribosomal RNA
Source: RNAcentral
AGAGUUUGAUCCUGGCUCAGAUUGAACGCUGGCGGCAUGCCUUACACAUGCAAGUCGAACGGCAGCGGACCUUCGGGUGCCGGCGAGUGGCGAACGGGUGAGUAAUGUAUCGGAACGUACCUUUCAGUGGGGGAUAACGUAGCGAAAGUUACGCUAAUACCGCAUAUUCUGUGCGCAGGAAAGCAGGGGAUCGCAAGACCUUGCGCUGAUUGAGCGGCCGAUAUCAGAUUAGCUAGUUGGUGAGGUAAAGGCUCACCAAGGCGACGAUCUGUAGCGGGUCUGAGAGGAUGAUCCGCCACACUGGAACUGAGACACGGUCCAGACUCCUACGGGAGGCAGCAGUGGGGAAUUUUGGACAAUGGGGGCAACCCUGAUCCAGCCAUGCCGCGUGAGUGAAGAAGGCCUUCGGGUUGUAAAGCUCUUUCGGCCGGGAAGAAAUCGCAUGGGUUAAUACCCUGUGCGGAUGACGGUACCGGCAUA